This 85-nucleotide transfer RNA is filed under the name Protaetiibacter larvae. It matches the Rfam family "tRNA". Rfam says of the family: Transfer RNA (tRNA) molecules are approximately 80 nucleotides in length. Lineage: Bacteria; Bacillati; Actinomycetota; Actinomycetes; Micrococcales; Microbacteriaceae. The record is from Rfam by way of RNAcentral.
GGAGGGCUGUCCGAGUGGCCGAUGGAGCCGGUCUUGAAAACCGGUGGGCAGCGAUGUCUCGUGGGUUCGAAUCCCACGCCCUCCG